RNAcentral lists this ribosomal RNA (460 nucleotides) under uncultured bacterium. RNAcentral describes it as "partial 16S ribosomal RNA". It matches the Rfam family "Bacterial small subunit ribosomal RNA", at positions 338 to 795 of the family's 1533-position model. The record is from RNAcentral.
CCUACGGGAGGCUGCAGUGAGGAAUAUUGGUCAAUGGACGAGAGUCUGAACCAGCCAAGUAGCGUGAAGGAUGAAUGCCCUAUGGGUUGUAAACGUCUUUUAUAUGGGAAUAAAAUGUUCAACGCGUGGGAUUGUGUAUGUACCAUAUGAAUAAGGAUCGGCUAAAUCCGUGCCAGCAGCCGCGGUAAUACGGAGGAUACGAGCGUUAUCCGGAUUUAUUGGGUUUACAGGGAGCGUAGGUGGAUUGUUAAGUCAGUUGUGAAAGUUUGCGGCUCAACCGUAAAAUUGCAGUUGAAACUGGCAGUCUUGAGUACAGUAGAGGUGGGCGGAAUGCGUGGUGUAGCGGUGAAAUGCUUAGAUAUCACGAAGAACUCCGAUGGCGAAGGCAGUUCACUGGACUGCAACUGACACUGAGGCUCGAAAGUGUGGGUAUCAAACAGGAUUAGAUACCCGUGUAGUC